This 239-nucleotide ribosomal RNA is filed under the name uncultured bacterium. Its description in RNAcentral is "partial 16S ribosomal RNA". It matches the Rfam family "Bacterial small subunit ribosomal RNA", at positions 538 to 776 of the family's 1533-position model. The record is from RNAcentral.
GCGUUGUCCGGAUUUAUUGGGCGUAAGGAGCUCGUAGGCGGCUUGUUGCGUCGACUGUGAAAACCCGCGGCUUAACCGCGGGCUUGCAGUUGAUACGGGCAGGCUAGAGUUCGGUAGGGGAGACUGGAAUUCCUGGUGUAGCGGUGAAAUGCGCAGAUAUCAGGAGGAACACCGGUGGCGAAGGCGGGUCUCUGGGAUGACACUGACGCUCAGGCACGAAAGCGUGGGGAGCAAAAGGG